Molecule: ribosomal RNA, 464 nt
Filed under: uncultured bacterium
Lineage: Bacteria
Description: partial 16S ribosomal RNA
Rfam family: Bacterial small subunit ribosomal RNA
Source: RNAcentral
CUACGGGCUGCUGCAGUGGGGAAUAUUGCACAAUGGGCGCAAGCCUGAUGCAGCCAUGCCGCGUGUAUGAAGAAGGCCUUCGGGUUGUAAAGUACUUUCAGCGGGGAGGAAGGGAGUAAAGUUAAUACCUUUGCUCAUUGACGUUACCUGCAGAAGAAGCACCGGCUAACUCCGUGCCAGCAGCCGCGGUAAUACGGAGGGUGCAAGCGUUAAUCGGAAUUACUGGGCGUAAAGCGCACGCAGGCGGUUUGUUAAGUCAGAUGUGAAAUCCCCGGGCUCAACCUGGGAACUGCAUCUGAUACUGGCAAGCUUGAGUCUCGUAGAGGGGGGUAGAAUUCCAGGUGUAGCGGUGAAAUGCGUAGAGAUCUGGAGGAAUACCGGUGGCGAAGGCGGCCCCCUGGACGAAGACUGACGCUCAGGUGCGAAAGCGUGGGGAGCAAGCAGGAUUAGAUACCCCGGUAGUC